CGCGUAGGCGGCCUUGUAAGUCCCGUGUGAAAGCCCCCGGCUCAACUGGGGAACUGCACGGGAAACUGCGGGGCUUGAGUUCGGGAGAGGGAAGCGGAAUUCCGGGUGUAGCGGUGAAAUGCGUAGAUAUCCGGAGGAACACCAGUGGCGAAGGCGGCUUCCUGGACCGACACUGACGCUGAGGCGCGAAAGCUAGGGGAGCAAAACGG
Molecule: ribosomal RNA, 209 nt
Filed under: uncultured bacterium
Lineage: Bacteria
Description: partial 16S ribosomal RNA
Rfam family: Bacterial small subunit ribosomal RNA
Source: RNAcentral